ACCCGUCUGACAAGUCCGAAUUAGGACGAAACGCGUGUCCUGGAU
This 45-nucleotide non-coding RNA is filed under the name Schistosoma haematobium. The record is from RNAcentral. Lineage: Eukaryota; Metazoa; Platyhelminthes; Trematoda; Strigeidida; Schistosomatidae.